Molecule: ribosomal RNA, 863 nt
Filed under: Sabatieria sp. 2 FH-2016
Lineage: Eukaryota; Metazoa; Nematoda; Chromadorea; Araeolaimida; Comesomatidae
Description: SSU rRNA
Rfam family: Eukaryotic small subunit ribosomal RNA
Source: RNAcentral
UGGCUCAUUACAACAGCCGUCGUUUCUUGGAUCUCUUAUUUUACUUGGAUAACUGUGGUAAUUCUAGAGCUAAUACACGCACUAAAGCUCCGACCUUACGGGACGAGCGCAUUUAUUAGAACAAAACCAAUCGGGUUUCGGCCCGUUCGUUGGUGACUCUGAAUAACUACGCCGAUCGCACGGUCUCGCACCGGCGACGCAUCUUUCAAGUGUCUGCCUUAUCAACUUUCGAUGGUAGUUUAUGUGCCUACCAUGGUUGUAACGGGUAACGGAGAAUAAGGGUUCGACUCCGGAGAGGGAGCCUGAGAAACGGCUACCACAUCCAAGGAAGGCAGCAGGCGCGCAAAUUACCCACUCUCGGCACGAGGAGGUAGUGACGAAAAAUAACGAGACGGAUCUCUUUGAGGCCCGUUAUCGGAAUGAGAACAAUUCAAAUCCUUUAACGAGGAUCUAGCGGAGGGCAAGUCUGGUGCCAGCAGCCGCGGUAAUUCCAGCUCCGCAGGUGUAUAUCUAUGCUGCUGCGGUUAAAAAGCUCGUAGUUGGAUCUGCGUGCUCGGAACCGGUUGGCUCACUGAGUUCAAACUGGUCUCCGGCGCUUUAUCGGCUGGUUUUCCCUUGAUGCUCUUAACCGGGUGUCUUGGGUGGCUAGCACGUUUACUUUGAAAAAAUUAGAGUGCUCAAUACAGGCGCAAAGCCUUGAAUAGUGGUGCAUGGAAUAAUGGAAUAGGACCUCGGUUCUAUUUUGUUGGUUUUCGGAACGCGAGGUAAUGAUUAAGAGGGACAGACGGGGGCAUUCGUAUUGCGACGUUAGAGGUGAAAUUCUUGGAUCGUCGCAAGACGGACGACUGCGAAAGCAUUGCCAA